This 571-nucleotide ribosomal RNA is filed under the name uncultured bacterium. RNAcentral's name for it is "partial 16S ribosomal RNA". It matches the Rfam family "Bacterial small subunit ribosomal RNA", at positions 372 to 913 of the family's 1533-position model. The record is from RNAcentral.
UGGGCGCAUGCCUGAUCCAGCCAUACCGCGUGGGUGAAGAAGGCCUUCGGGUUGUAAAGCCCUUUUGUUGGGAAAGAAAUCCUGUUGAUUAAUACUCGGUGGGGAUGACGGUACCCAAAGAAUAAGCACCGGCUAACUUCGUGCCAGCAGCCGCGGUAAUACGAAGGGUGCAAGCGUUACUCGGAAUUACUGGGCGUAAAGCGUGCGUAGGUGGUGGUUUAAGUCUGCUGUGAAAGCCCUGNGCUCAACCUGGGAAUUGCAGUGGAUACUGGAUCACUNGACUGUGGUAGAGGGAUGCGGAAUUUCUGGUGUANCAGUGAAAUGCGUAGANAUCAGAANGAACAUCCNUGGCGAAGGCGGNAUCCUGGGCCAACACUGACACUGAGGCACGAAANCGUGGGGGAGCNAACNANGAUUANAUACCCUGCUAGUCCACNCCCCUNAAACGAAUCCGAACUGGAUGUUNGGGUGCAACUUUGUGCACCCAGUNAUCGGAACNUUNACCGCNUUNAAGUUCCNCCGGCCUUGNGGNAGNUACGGGNCUCAANUACUUGAAACUCAAAGGAAUUGA